AUAUCGGCAUAGAGAAGAUAAGUAAUUAGCCAAAUUUUAAGAGAGCCGGAGGUCGCUGAAAUCCGGUAAUGACAGCUAAUGAAUCAUGGUCUUUGAGCUUUGUUCUUGCGAGUGGUUUACCGCGAGUAGGAAUCGGUUGCGUCCGUUAUCACGUCAGACUAUAAUCGCAGGUUCAUCUACCUUGCGACGUAGCCACAGAGGGUAUGCAGGUGACUGUAUACUGAACACGAGUGGUAAAGCGCUUAUUCGCCCCGUAA
RNAcentral lists this non-coding RNA (257 nucleotides) under Oenococcus kitaharae. RNAcentral describes it as "T-box sequence". It matches the Rfam family "T-box leader". Rfam says of the family: Uncharged tRNA acts as the effector for transcription antitermination of genes in the T-box leader family. T-boxes are found upstream of many aminoacyl-tRNA synthetase genes and some amino acid biosynthetic genes usually in Gram-positive bacteria. Lineage: Bacteria; Bacillati; Bacillota; Bacilli; Lactobacillales; Lactobacillaceae. The record is from RNAcentral.